This 440-nucleotide ribosomal RNA is filed under the name uncultured bacterium. Its description in RNAcentral is "partial 16S ribosomal RNA". It matches the Rfam family "Bacterial small subunit ribosomal RNA", at positions 339 to 795 of the family's 1533-position model. The record is from RNAcentral.
CUACGGGCCGCUCCAGUGAGGAAUAUUGCACAAUGGGGGGAACCCUGAUGCAGCAACGCCGCGUGGAGGAUGACGCAUUUCGGUGUGUAAACUCCUUUUAUAUGUCAAGAAAAUGACGGUAGCAUAUGAAUAAGCACCGGCUAACUCCGUGCCAGCAGGCCGCGGUAAUAAGGAGGGUGCAAGCGUUACUCGGAAUCACUGGGCGUAAAGGACGCGUAGGCGGGUUGGAAAGUCAGGUGUGAAAUCCUACAGCUUAACUGUAGAACUGCACUUGAAACUUCUAAUCUAGAGUAUGGGAGGGGGAGAUGGAAUUAGUGGUGUAGGGGUAAAAUCCGUAGAUAUCACUAGGAAUACCUAAAGCGAAGGCGAUCUCCUGGAACAUUACUGACGCUAAGGCGUGAAAGCGUGGGGAGCAAACAGGAUUAGAUACCCGCGUAGUC